Molecule: ribosomal RNA, 610 nt
Filed under: uncultured bacterium
Lineage: Bacteria
Description: bacterial SSU rRNA
Rfam family: Bacterial small subunit ribosomal RNA
Source: RNAcentral
CCUACGGGAGGCAGCAGUAAGGAAUAUUGGACAAUGCCCGCAAGGGUGAUCCAGCCAUGCCGCGUGCAGGAAGAAGGCCCUAUGGGUCGUAAACUGCUUUUACACCGGAGAAAACCUCCCUUCGUGAAGGGAGCUGAUAGUAUGGUGAGAAUAAGCAUCGGCUAACUUCGUGCCAGCAGCCGCGGUAAGACGAAGGAUGCAAGCGUUAUCCGGAUUCAUUGGGUUUAAAGGGAGCGUAGGUGGACUGAUCAGUCAGUGGUGAAAUCUUCGAGCUUAACUCGGAAAUUGCCAUUGAUACUGUUAGUCUUGAGUACAGUUGCUGUGGGCGGAAUAUGACAUGUAGUGGUGAAAUACAUAGAGAUGUCAUAGAACACCGAUUGCGAAGGCAGCUCACAAAGCUGUAACUGACACUGAGGCUCGAAAGUGCGGGGAUCAAACAGGAUUAGAUACCCUGGUAGUCCGCACUGUAAACGAUGAUUACUCGCUGCUAGAGGGCAACUUUUAGUGGCUUAGCGAAAGCGANAAGUAAUCCACCUGGGGAGUACGCCGGCAACGGUGAAACGUUAAAUGAAUUGACGGNGNGAGAGNGCGAGCGACGACGAGGGAGAGG